UUUUCAGCACUUUUUCUUUUUUGAAUACAUGCAAUAGAAGCUAUGAAUUGCUUUCUAUAGGAGUACUGCUUUGGCUGCAUCCCACAAGUUUUCAUAUUUUGACAAUGUUUUUUAAUUUGCAUCGUGAUUUCUUCUUUGAUCCAUGGUUAUUACAAAGUUAUUUCUUCAUUUACAAGUAUAUUUGAAUUUUCUAACUGUCUUUAUUUUAGCUUAGUUGUCACAGAACAUACCUUCAUUGUAAGGUUGCACCAAAAGUCACUGGUUCAGUUCCCCGUCAGGGCACAUGCCUGGGUUGCGGGCUCAAUCUCCACUAAGGUGUGUGCAGGAGGCAGCCAAUCAAUGUUUUUCUCUCAUUGAUGUUUCUGUCUCUCUGCUCUCCUUCUAAAACAAAAAGUUCAGAAAGAGCUUCCAUCAGACAUGGAGAAACUUCUGAUGCCUGUAUUUUUUUUUUUAAUUCUCACCCAAGGAUAUUUUUUCCAUUGAUUUUUUUUAGAGAGAGUGGAAAGGAGAGGGAGAGACAGAGAGUAACACCGAUGUGAAAGAAACACAUCAAUUGGUUGCCAGGGCCGGGAGCUUGCAACCAAGGUACGUGCAGUUGACCAGAAUUGACAGUCCACAGUCUGACAAUUUGUCCACUGAGCCAAACCGGCUAGGGCCUGAUGACCUGUAUUGAAGACCAAACACAAACACAUAUCCCACUCAGCACCAUGACGACCACGGCCAAAGCAAAACAAUUUUGAAAGAAAAGGCUGGACCUGACUACUGUGUUGAAUUUACUGCUAGUUAUCACGCUGGAGGACAGCAUGAGUAACUACUUCACUGUCACCUACAGGCAUGUCCUGGGGUGUAGAAAGGUUUGCUGACUUAAAAGACAUUUGCGUGUGAACUUGGACAUGGGUAAAGCAGCAUAUGGGUGGAUGAUGAUGAGGGAUGAGAACAUUCCCGGCACAGUCGUCCGGACCAGCACCAUCCCAGAGGAGCUGGGCCGCCUCGUGUACCUGCUAACGGAUAAGACAGGUACCACUUGUGUGUGUGUGUGCGCGCGUGCACCUCAGGUUGCCUGGUGUGUAUA
Long non-coding RNA from Myotis lucifugus (little brown bat), 1072 nucleotides. RefSeq lists it as uncharacterized. NCBI's taxonomy places the organism in Eukaryota, Metazoa, Chordata, Mammalia, Chiroptera, Vespertilionidae. The transcript is spliced from 3 exons. The record is from RefSeq and is a predicted model, not a curated record.